This 462-nucleotide ribosomal RNA is filed under the name uncultured bacterium. RNAcentral describes it as "bacterial SSU rRNA". It matches the Rfam family "Bacterial small subunit ribosomal RNA", at positions 29 to 534 of the family's 1533-position model. The record is from RNAcentral.
AACGAACGCUGGCGGCAUGCCUAACACAUGCAAGUCGAACGAGACCUUCGGGUCUAGUGGCGCACGGGUGCGUAACGCGUGGGAACCUGCCUUUAGGUUCGGAAUAACUCAGAGAAAUUUGAGCUAAUACCGGAUAAUGUCUUCGGACCAAAGAUUUAUCGCCUUUAGAUGGGCCCGCGUUGGAUUAGCUAGUUGGUGGGGUAAAGGCCUACCAAGGCGACGAUCCAUAGCUGGUCUGAGAGGAUGAUCAGCCACACUGGGACUGAGACACGGCCCAGACUCCUACGGGAGGCAGCAGUGGGGAAUAUUGGACAAUGGGCGAAAGCCUGAUCCAGCAAUGCCGCGUGAGUGAUGAAGGCCUUAGGGUUGUAAAGCUCUUUUACCCGAGAUGAUAAUGACAGUAUCGGGAGAAUAAAGCUCCGGCUAAACUCCGUGCCAGCAGCCGCGGUAAAGUGACUACUG